GGAAGUUAAGAAAUUGUUUCUUAACUUUUAACUAAAAAAGCUAAGAACUUAAAGUACUUAUUUAAGAACCGGUUCUUAGGUUUUUUUGGUUAAAAGUUAAGAAACAAUUUCUUAACUUCU
Brassica oleracea var. oleracea is the source of this 120-nucleotide microRNA precursor. It matches the Rfam family "MIR9563 microRNA precursor family". Lineage: Eukaryota; Viridiplantae; Streptophyta; Magnoliopsida; Brassicales; Brassicaceae. The record is from Rfam.